Molecule: long non-coding RNA, 22315 nt
Filed under: Sorghum bicolor (sorghum)
Lineage: Eukaryota; Viridiplantae; Streptophyta; Magnoliopsida; Poales; Poaceae
Description: long non-coding RNA (SBIC_LNC008004)
Source: RNAcentral
AUUACUUUCUGUAUUUUGUGUUAUUUGUGAUAAACAGGCUUUCUUGAUGAAAGGAUCAAGUGGCAAGCAUCAGUGAGAGCACAUCACUUGAUGGCCCGAUCUGGACGUGAUCAUCACAGGGAAGUGGAGUAAAAGAUCAACCUGUUGAGUGCCAUGACAACAAAAAUGCCAGCGUGCUAAAUUAGGACAGAACUAAGUAGACCUGGAAAAUACUGCGAACGAAGUGGGAGAAGAACCAAGUUUGAAGCUUUUAACUGGAAUAGCUAUUACUUUUGUGUAGUUCGAAGUUUCUCAUUUGCAAUAGCUACUUUUUAUUUCAUAGUUUGUUCAGUAUCUUUAGGAAAUAAGAUAUGGUUUUUUAUAUCUCUAAAAGAAUUUCAGUUGCCAUUGUCUGUCCUGGAGUAGUGCUAAAAAUAAAUUUGUUUGAUUUCACAUGGUCUCUUGUUACUUGGGUUUCUUUUGUUCUCUGUGUUGUUUCUGCUGGGUCUUUGUCACUCCUGGUCACCCAAGUGUGACCUCUGUAGUAUAUGCACAAAAAUAUUACUAGUGUUGAAAAAGGUCUGAAAUUUUUUAAAUAAAUGGUACAGAACAAUGGUUUGUAUAUAUAGUUUAGUUACAUGUUUUUUAGUAUGUGACUGUACUGUGAAAAUCGGACAAUAGGCAACUAGCAUCUGGUACUUCCAUUGCAGGCUGAUUGGGAAGUCUAAUUGAAUUGUGGUGAUUGGCCUGAUUGGUGUUGGGUCUCACACAGAGGCCAUAUGCGGCAUGUGCCAAUGGUUAUGAGUUCCCUUUCUGCAAAAUGGAACAGCUAAAGGAUUUUGUUUUCCCUUUUUGUGCGCAUAAUAAAAAAAUGAAAUGAACUGACUAUUAAUACUGUUGUACUGUGUCACACUAAUUCUGUUUUAUGUUUUGGAAUUAGCUAGUCACUUGAUAUAUGUCAAAACUGCUAAUCUGAUAGGAUUUUCUUGUUAGUGAUAUCGAUAGCUAAUCUAACAUUUUGUUUGUGUGACCUUUUGAAUUAUUAUUCAAGUCUCUGUUUAUUUUUUACAUGCUUAUAGGUGUUGCUGCUCUCCAUGCUCAAGGUACAUGCCCUCCCCUUUUGGACCCUUUCUUUGAUUCAGCAUCUUUAAUGUCGUAAUUGCUUAAUUGUGCAGCUAUAAUAAGGAUCUGAAAUCUGAAAUAAUAAGUUUUGAAACAGAAAAUGUCUGGAUGUUAGGUUCCAUAUAUAGUUGUUUGUGGCCCAUAUGGUUUGGCACAGAUUUCUUUGCCUGUGCAAGACUUCUGUUUCCAAUUUGUUUAGGCACCAAUGGAAACUGGAAGAUCCUUAAGGUGUUUAGCUAUUAAAUGGUAUGUUUUUCAAGUUUUGUUCAAUCUAUCUUUUAUAGAACAAUGAAUCCACAAUUCUUAGUGUUGUGGAUGAUUGACUUGCUCCUUAAGGAUCUUCCUGGUGUAGGUUAUCCUCUCUUCGUUGCUAGAAUGAGCAUUUUGAUGUUGCUGCUCCUUGCGUUGCAUUUCUGUUGGUGUUAUAUUAUAGUGUGGAUAGUUCUGUUUACAAUUCUACUAGUGUAUAUUGCUUUCUUAGUUUCUUUUGCUAGUACAGUCAUUGAUUGGGUGCAUUGCGCUAUAGUUUCACUGCCAUUUCUUAAUUUUACAGCAUGUAAAUUCUUUUGUCACAUGACCCAUCUUUUAGCUGUGAAAUUAAAUGCGAGUGUGUUGAUAUAUAUACUCGGAAAUGUACUUCAUAUAUUUAACAACCUGACUUGACUACAAAAGAUCAUGAGUCCAUGUUGAAUUAGCACUAAUAAUCUGAACAUUGUUAGAAGUGCAAUCCUUUUCUAGAAAUUAUUUCACUUGAGAAGGAUGCAUUUACUUGCACCAUUUACUUGGACCUGUCAACAUAUGUAGGAUAUCGAACGUCAUAAUGUUCAAGUGCACAUUAUGUUCAACAAGGAUGAAUGACCCGGUUCAGGCAGGUCUUCACCAACUACAACUGGAAGACAGAUGCUCAAUCAUAUACAUUGUGGACAUAGCAUUGAUGAAAUACAGAGGCUAGAUUCUUUGCUAAGACAGCCUGAAUCCUAUGAUACAGAUUCAUUUUCUUAGUAGAUUGUUCCCCUUUUAUGGGAAAGCUAAUGAUUUCAAUGUUGCUAUGGGCAUCAGAGGCCAACCAUUGUACUAUAGGGCAUAGACAUAUUGUUUGAACCGCUUAAUAGUUUUAUCAGGCUUCAAAAGCCUCAGCUUGGAAUGGUAGUAUAUAUGUAUAUACCUGGCUCAAUGGGCUUGCAGUACCAUAUAAAUGGGAAUUACAGCCGUACAUGGACUGAGUGUGUUGUGUAAUAAAAAAGUACUCCACAUGUUAUGCGUUGGAGUCUCUAAUUAACUAUGUGUAUGACUUGAAUUAUGUGUUUGUUUUAGGAGAUCCAUUAUAUCAGUCUGCUGCUGCCUGUCAUGCAUAGCAGUGGCUAAAGAUGAGGCAGAAUCGAUUGGUCUUCUUCUUGGGAGUGCUUAUGAUAGCUGUUUACACUAGAGUUGUUUGUAUACAAUGUACUUAAUCUGGAUGUACUUGGCUUGUAUGUAGCGCUUCUAAAUAGUAAAUACUACUGGAAACAAUUUCAGUCUUAUUAGCAUUUUAUUUUCAAUAUGCGUAUCGAAUUCAGAGACCAAAUUACAAAUCAGUAUGUACAGAUUGUGUGUGGCCUACCUCUGAAAAACAGCUUGUCUCUGUCAGUGUGUCCCAACACACAAGUUAAGCUUGAUCAGACUGAGCUUCCUGUGUAUUGUGUACUGCUACGACAGUGUCAAUAGGUCACAAAUCUGUGUUUCAGGCCUCAAAAAGUAGUUUUCGCCUGAUAGCAAGUGUUGGCAUAUGAAAGCCAUAUGGUUUUAGGACGAUGGCACUGCACCAGUAGAUGAAUCCGUUUGAGUUAGGUCAUAAUUUGUUUUCAGAGUUUGAACAGUAACUAUUGGUUUAUAUCACAUUUAAACGUUCAUUAGUGUGCUAGUGUGUUCUAGUAUCUGAUCCGAGAUGCUUGUGGCUUUUUUUCAGCCAGACUAAAAAAAAUUCUAGUAGUGACCUAGGUCACUUGUUCUUUCAGGGCUUUUAAUAUACUACCUCUGUCCUUGAAAGUUUUAACUUCUAGAGUUGUUUUAAGGUCUUGUUUAGUUCCGAAAUUUAUUAGUACGCUGUCAAUUAGAAUAAAAAAGCGUAAGGAUAGGAGCAUGGUCAUUGCGAAGCAUUGGAAGAUAAUAUAUAGUCGUCCGAGGAUAAGCCAUAUAUCAUUCUGCGUUGGCAAGACAUUGAUCAAGAUGUUCGAAAGUUGGAGCAGAGCUGAAUCUCUUAUUGAUCCAUGUGUACGCCGGUCCGCUAUAUCCAAGAUCAAUGAAACCAUGCUGUUUGACAAAAUCACAGAAAACAUUAAUGCGCCUAAGAUCAGGUCUACCAGGACCUAAUUUUUCAUUGGGUACAUAAUAUCAUUCAUAUCUCCCAUAGAGAACAUAGACAAUGUGCUAUGACUUACAACAAAAUCCAGCACACGCAUCCAUAUGGUAGUAGUGUUAAUGUGAUGAGAGUCACCGUAAAUACAAACUAGCCCAAAUUGUUUCUGGUCUAGAUUAUUACUACACAAGGCAAAAAUAUAGUUUUGAGACUGAUCAACUACCGUGAGACUGGCCUUGAGCAGGGAUUACCAGCGCAUUUAUGGCAUUAAAACGAUUAAUUAAAGAAGUACGAGAUGUGUCAUCUAGUUUAAAAAAUAAAACAUACCUAUGACUUAGUAGAGGUAAUUAGGCGGGCAAGAUGUGUCAUCUUAGAACUGCUCGGGGAUCCGCCCGAUCCCCGACAGUUCCAUGCCAGGAGUGUCAUGGCGUCCACGACGCCUAUGCGGCUGGUGCUGGAGCCUUUUGAAGAUUGAGGUCGAUAACAAGCUGAGUAGGGCUGCGAGCCGUACCCUCGCUUUUACUAGUGUCACUUCAUGGCUAAGCUGUAGAGUGGGGUUCACCAUGGGGGAGAGCAUGAUGUUUUUCGUCACCCAGAUCUAGUUCGCCGAGAGGAAGCUGGCGAUGAUCAGGAAUGUGAGCCGUAGCCAUAGUGUCGGUGCCGUGGGGCGACGUAUGGCAAGGAUGCAUUGAAGUGAGAGAUUGAUGUUGCUGGGAUGGCGUGGUGGUAUGGCUUAUUGGAGACGCGGGUUGAGGCCGAGGUGGAGAGGUGGGUAUGGGGGUUGAAACCAUUGGUGGAUGAGGAAGCGUCUUGGUCGGGUGGCUUAGGCUCCAUGGUGAGGGGGACCGGCAAGGAAGUAUAGUCGCUUGCCAUGGUGGAAAGGGAUAGAAGAAGACGUAGAAAGGGGAGUACAAACGUGAAUGACGAGGGCUCAUCAGUAAGAUAUAGCAUACCUCCUUCAAAUCUAGAUCUCAGGCUAUUGAUUGCCACCAAUUGAAGCUACAGACAACCUAGAGCAGACACAUUGAAUUGCAUGAUAGGGAGAUUGGGAGGAGAUUUGGCGCAGGGGAUUCAGCUUCCGCCACUACACAGGUCCUAUUGUGUGGUGCCCACUGAGAGAAUCAGCGGAAGGAGCCAGACCGCUCAGAUCGGAUGAGGAUUGGCACACAGGAUGAUGAUCGGAAGGAUUGGGAUGGAUUAUAGCAAGGGGAAUCAAGGAUUGCGGGGGGGGGGGGGGGGAUUGAGUGGUAGGAAGGUAACUCAUGGCAUAACGGCCAAUGCUACUCAGAGUUCUCGUGGUCUAGUUCAUAGCCCAACCUAAUAUAAAUCAUCAUGGGAAGAAAAAAGUACCGAUACAUAAUAGAAAUACAGUCAACAGUGACUACACACAGACAGGAACAAACAUUGAUUUGAAAUGAACAAAUUAUAAUGUUCCUUUUUUUAGAACACACUCUGCAUUAAAUCUGACAAAAUAGAAGUUAGUAGUAGCAGCACUACAGACUCUGUCAGAAACUAAGCGAGGGUGCAAAGCUUUAGCAUUUCGGAGUGAUCAAGGGGGAGAGUUUAACUCCAUUGAGUUCAAGCAGUACUGUGAUGAGCAUGGAGUCAAAUAUUUCACCACAACUCCAUAUACACGGUAGCAAAAUAGCACUAUUGAGCGAUAGAAAUGCACCGUAGUGGGAAUAGCUAGAUGUCUGUUAAAGAGCAAGAGUGUCCUUGUGAGUUUUGGGGAGAAGCGGUGUCAGCUGCAGUCUAUUUACUAAGUCCUUGUUUAGUUCGUAAAAUUUUUUGUUUUUGGAUACUGUAGCAUUUCGUUUUCAUUUGACAAACAUUAUCCAAUCACAGAGUAACUAGGCUCAAAAGAUUCAUCUCACAAAUUACAGGUAAACUGUGCAGUUAGUUUUUAUUUUCAUCUAUAUUUAAUGCUCCAUGCAUGCGACCAAAGAUUCGAUGUGAUGGAGAAUCUUGAAAUUUUUUGCGAACUAAACAAGGCCUAAACCGAGCCCCAACAAAGAGCCAGCAAGAGAAAACUCCAUGGCACGACCGCAAGCCCAAAGUACAUCAUCUUCGCACGUUUGGUUGCAUUGCCUAUGUGAAGAUAGUUGAGCCUGGUAACUAAAAUGGUGUUUGUGAGCUAUAAAGCAGAACUAAGGGUUAUGAUGCCUAGCCUUGUUGAUGUGGCAUAGCUCGGCGCCAUGAAACAUAGCGCUGACAUCAGUGCUAAUGUCAAACGCUGUCCUCGCCAUCAUCAGCUUUGCUUUCGAAGCUGCAUGCGCUUUCGAAGCUGCAUGUCGUCUCGUUAUACCUGCUCGUGUGCUCUGCAUGCAUGCACCACCUCACUCAAUUAAUGUUCACGUGCAGUGCAUGCAUGUAGGUAGCUAGCCUCAUGGCAACUAGGCCUUAGUUCCAAAUGUUUUUCUAAAAUAGACAUUGUAACAUUUUCGUUUGUAUUUGACAAAUAUUAUCAAAUCAUGGAUUAACUAGACUCAAAAGAUUCAUCUCGUAAAUUACAUGUGAACUGUGUAAUUAGUUUUUAUUUUUGUCUAUAUUUAAUGUUCCAUGUAUGCGUCUAAAGAUUCGAUGUGAUGGAAAAUCUGAAAAAUGUUGCAUUUUUUUGCGAUGAAAGAAGAAUCAUAUUAGAUAAUAGUUGGGUACAUGAAUACAUUACAAGCACUCUGGAUUACACAAAUAUUCAGAAAAAAUCAUCUAAGUUAUACCCAAGCUGUGAAUAGCUUUAGAUCUCAAAACCAAAAUUUUUUGAGAACUAAACAAAGCCCUAAUAUGCUGUAGUGCAUGUGAGAGGGUGGUAUGGCACAUGGAAAGCUGUGUUUUUUUUUGUCUCGGUGAAAAUAUAUUGAUAGAGCCUUGUAUAGUUACAUUUUUUUUGUAUCUGAUUACUGUAGUAUUUUUAUUUUAUUUGACAACUAAUAUCCAAUUACAGACUAAUUAGGUUUAAAAGUUUCAUCUCAUAAAUUAUAGGCAAACUAUGUAAUUAGUUAUUUUUUAAUCUAUAUUUAAUAUUCUGUGCAUGUGUUCAAAAAUUCAAUGUGACGGGAGAAAAGAAAAAUUUUGGAACGAAACAGGGCUCACGUGACCAUGCUAGAGGCAAGUUUGUUGCCGAUUUUUUUUAAAGGGACGGUGGAUUUUUCACAAGAGAUGAAGAGACUUUUUACUGCAAAUAAAAAGAUAAUACCGUGUGAUUGAUUUUUCUAUGCGUGGGUCCGUUGGUUGAUCAGAAUUUUUUUCUCAGUACUGAAAUUACAAAUUGCGUCUAUAGAAAAUGUAAUGAACAAAAUCUUCUAUUUUGAUAUAAUAUAUAUGCAAUAAUAGUCGCCUGCAAUGACCUUGGUCAUGUGUUGCAACUAGAAAAAAAUACUCAUGUGUUGCUACUGAAAAAAGUAAUAUCAUAAUAAUUUAAAUUUCAACAUGUGUUGUACUGUAAACACAUAUUUUCAACAUGUGUUAGUUCGCGAUUUUUUUACUUUGGCUACUACUGUAGCAUUUUCGUUUAAAUUUGGUAAUUAUUAUCUAACUAUAGACUAACUAGGCUCAAAAGAUACGUCUCGUAAAUUUCAGGUAAAUUAUACAAUUAUUUUUUUAUUUAUAUUAAAUGUUCCAUGCAUGCAUCCAAAGAUUUGAUGUGAUGAAAAUCUAGAAAUGGCUACACUGAUGCCCACGGGACGCAAGGCUUGCGUGGCCGCAUGAGGCCAUUGGCUGAGCUGUAUUCCCUCUAUAUAGGGUCUAGAUGUCGUUUAGGAUAGCGAUACGAUCUACGAAACACAACUUUGACCUCUUAUUUUUAUAAAAAUAUUUAGAAAAAAUGAUAUAUGUAUUUUUAAAGACAAAUCUAUUCAUAAAUUUUUGAUAUUUGCAAACUCAACAAUUUAAAAGUUAUUGAUGAUUUAUAUUCCAAAGUUUGACCCAAACCUUGUCCAAAACGAUAUCUAAAUUCUAUACGAAUGGAGUACUUGUAUAUUUCAACUUUUAUGCAUGAAGAAAUCAAUUUUUAGUUUUUGUGGCAAUGCACAAAAUUAAUUACUCGCUUCAUUCUAAAUUAUAAGUCAUAAGUCAUUUCAAGAAUUUUGGAGAUUUAAAGUAUCUCAAGUUUAACCAAAAUUAUAAAGAAAAUAUAAAAAUUUAUGACAUUAAAUAGGUACAAUAUGACGAAAUUUAUGAUGCCAACUAAGUAUCAAUGUAUCAAUAGAUUCUUUAUUAAUUAUAUUUUUGUUAUGAAAGUGCAUUUGUCCCCUAUGUGGGUUUUGGUGUAUUGAUGACAUCCAAUUUAGGGACUAAUGCGUUGUAUUUGAGAUUUGCUACAGCUACUAGUCUCAUGAAAGAUGCAAAGGUUCGACUUAAGAUGAAAUGGUAUCCCCCAAUCUUCGUUCGUGAGAAAGGCGUUGGAAUCAAUCUAGAGCUUAAUUGUUUUUCUUUAAUUUUGGGGAUAGGUAUGCCGUACUAUCAAGAGGGAUUCAAAAGUUGUUGGUUUGGCGAAGAUAGAGUGCUCAAGUCUUUCAACUAAAACUUUUUAGAGACACUCUAGCACCUCUCUUGCACUUAGGUUUAACUUCUGUGACUUCUGGUGUCGGAAGUCCCGACGCGGGUCGGAACUCCCGACGUGCUGCGCGAGAACUGUGAACGUCGGAAGUCCCAACGUAAGUCGGAAGUCCCGACGUUGAGUUCUGCGCGCGCACAUGUCGGAAGUCCCGACAAGCGUCGGAAGUCCCGACGCCAGAACUUUGGCUGGCUGCUCCCUCGCACGAGCGUUAGCAGUCCCGACCAGCGUCAGCAGUGCUGACGCGUCGGAAGUCCCGACGCUUGUUGGAACUUCCGACGUUGCCGUUUCUGCGCUGACUCAGUUUGCCUGUUGAACAGUUUUUCCCCGUGAGUGUCGGAAGUCCCGACACUAUGUCAGAACUUCCGACGUAGACCUGAGCAGACUUUUCUCCCAGUAGUAUAAAUAGCUCUCUCUGUGUUUCUAACCGUUACCCACUCUUUCAUUGCGACCAUCCCUCAGACUAAACAGCUCCCAAGCAUUCAAGACUCCCCUCUCCUCCUCCUCUUUGCUCCCAACUUCGAUUCACCUUAGAUUUGGAGUGAUUGGAGAGUGGUUAAGUGAGAGCAACGUCUUGAGAAGCUUGAGCACUUGAUCUCUUCGUCAAGCCGGCAGGUUUUGAGUUUAUUACUCUUGGGUUCUUGGAACCCUAGCCGGCUAGGCAUCGUCCAAGAGCUUCCAUCUUGUGGAAGAGCCUUGGAAAGUUUGUAUUACCCGGUUUUUCUUAGUGGAAAGCUCAAGUGACCUUUGUGGUUACUUUGAGGGAGGCAAGGAGGUGAAAGAGACUCCGACCUUGGUGGUCACCUCAACAACGAGGACGUAGGAACUCCUAAGUGGGGUUGCCGAACCUCGGGUUAAAUCCUUGUGUCUCUUGUGGUAGUUUGUCUUAAGAUCUACUUGUAUUACUUGUAUUUGCUUGUGCUUCAACCUCCUUUUAGGGUUUGGUCUCGAUCUACGGUUUGGGGGACUCUUGGUGUCAAGGAAGGUUCUCAACAUCCUCUUCUAACCACUAGAGAGUGGUGUUGUAAGUUGUGGAUCUCACAAAGUUCAUUUAAGCACUUGUAGUUCAUUUCCCGUAGGUGUCGGAACUGCUGACAGUUUGCGUUGGAACUUCUGACAACGUCGGAAGUUCUGACCCAAACUGUCGGGACUUCCGACAGUUACUGACAAGUGACUUUGAGUUUUGUGUAGAAUUUUUAUAUACGCCUAUUCACCCCCCCCCUCUAGGCAUUGUUUAGAUCCUUUCAAUUGGUAUCAGAGCGAGGUCUUCUUUUAGCACUUUACCGUGUGAGAAGAAACAAUGUCGGAAACCGAAAAGACACAAGAAUUGGCUAAGGAAAUAGCCAAAGAACUGUUGGCAGCUCAAUCAAAGCUUUUUCAAGAUGAAAUGAAGAAAAUGCAAGAUGAGAUGACAAAGUUAAAAGAAGAGCUGAGCAAGAAAGUUGAUGAUGCAAUAGGUAGUAGGAAAUCUGAUGAGGGACCUAGUGGACACAAAGACAAUGAUAAUGAAAGUGAAGUUGGAGGUAAAGAAGAAGGUCAGUCUACUCCAACAUGAACUUUGAUUUUUCACAGCUUAUCAAGGCUUCACAUCAUGCUCCAUCUAUCAACCUAGGGAAACCUCCUCACUUUGAUGGAACUAGAUAUCCCGAUUGGGCCUACAAAAUGAAGAUGCAUCUCAUUGCCGCAAAUCUUUGGGAAGUGGUAGAUGUUGGUGUAACAUUUCCCACUGAAGAUAGAGAGAUCACUCCGGAGGAAGCUCACACCUUUCGUCAAAAUGCACAAGCUGUAGCUAUUUUAGUUUCAAGUUUGGCUCCAGAUGAAUUCAACAAAGUGAAUGGAAGAGAAGUUGCCAAGGAUAUUUGGGAAGUGUUGAAGACAGCAUUUGAAGGUGACAAGAGUGUGAGAAUGGGUAACAUUGAGUUACUUCAUGGUGAGUUGGAAAGAUUUGUUUUCCUAGAAGGUGAAUCCACUCAGGCUAUGUUUGAUAGGAUGAUGUCUUUGGUCAAUCGGAUAAGAUCUAUUGGAAGCACUGAAUGGGAUGAAAACAAGGUUGCUAGGAAGAUCUUGAGAACCUAUAGGGCAAAGAACAACAUGCUAGCAUCAGUGAUUAUGGAAAGGCCCGACUAUGAUUGCAUGACACCUCAAGAAGUUCUAGCCAAGCUCAAGCAUCAUGAGUGCCUUGAUCAAGAUGCAAUCAAUGCACAUAGUCAAAAUCCUAGUGCAAUGGGAUACAACAAGAAUGUAGCUCUAAAGGUAGAGCAAGGCCAUGAACACCACAAGUCAUGUCAAGAAAAGAAGAAAGUGAAGGAUGAUUCAUCAAGUGGUGACGAAGAUUCUGAUCAAGAAGUUGCUUUUAUCAUUAGAAAUCUCAGAAAGUUUAUGAAGAAGAAGGGUCAUCAAAAGAAGAAGAGGUUUUGCUAUGGAUGUGGACAGACCGGUCACUUCAUAGCUGAGUGCCCAAAUAUGAAAGACAAGAACAAGUACAACAAGAAUAAUGACAAGAAGUACAAAGGAAAGAAAAAGGGUGAAGCUCAUCUUGGUGAAGAAUGGAUAUCCAAUGAUAGUGAUUCAAGUGAUGAAGAGAAGAAGAAGAAGAAAGGAGCUGCAAAUAUUGCCAUCCAAAAAUCCUCAUCAUCACUCAUGAACCUCCCAAAGGCUUCACCACCAAAGCUCUUCCCCAACUUGGACUCCAAACCAAGCCUCUUCGCCAACCUCAUCGACGAUGAUUACUACACUCCAACUUGCCUUAUGGCUAAGGGGGAGAAGGUAACUACCUCAUCUGAAACCUCUAGUGAUGAAUAUGAUAGUCAUGAUGAAAACAUAGAACAACUUGAGGCAUCCUUGAUAAAGAAAUUUGGUCAUAAGGCCUUCACUAAAAUAAAAAGUCUAAUGAAGAAAUUAGAGAAGAGGGAUAGAUGCUUAGAGAUGAAAGGUGAUAUAAUUGUGCAAGAGAAGGAAAAGAACCUAGCACUUGAAGCAUCUAUCGCCGAGGAAAAGACGAAGGUUGAAAAGUUGACCGUUGAAUUGUCUUUAGCCAAUGACUCAAUUGGGAAAUUGACUAAGGAACAUUCCUCGGUUGAUGAUCAAGUAGCUAGCCUUAAAAAUGAGAAUAGUAUAGCUCAAGAAAGCCUCACAAGCUUUAAGGAAAAAUACCGAAUUCUUGAGUUAAACUAUAACACUCUUUGGGCUAGCACUUCGACUUCUCCUAAGGCAACCAAAGACUCUAAUGUCUCCACUAGCAACGGUUGUAAAAGAUGCUACAAAGUUGAUGUAAAUGCAUAUGCUACUAACCUUGUUGAGUUAGAGAAAAAGGACAAGGAAAUCAAUAGGUUGAAGAUGGAAAUUAAGAAGGGGUGUAAAUGCCAAGAGCAAUCUAAAAGGACUAUAUACAAGGCAUUUAGGCACCCAUCCAUCAAGGAAGGACUUGGUUUUAAUAGGUAUGAUGGAAAGGUCAAUGGAAGAAACAUUGUGAACGGAGUGCCUUGUGUAAAGUUCAACAAGGGUGUUGCCCUUGAUGAGCUUAUCUGCAAGGCAAACAACAAGGUUUAUCUUCCGUUGAUUCAACCUACAAACAACAAGGAAAGCAAGAUAAAGCCAUCCGAAGCUCCCAAGCCACAAGCACCACUUCCACGGUGCUAUGCUAGUGACUAUAUGUGUUGUUAGGGCAAAGAUAGCAAGAUCGUGGUAAAGUAUGUUGGUGCCCACAAGAGGAAGGAAAUAUUGAGGAGUGUCUGGGUGCCAAAACUUUAUGUGACUAACCCCCUAGGACCCAAAUCUAUUUGGGUACCUAAAACACAAGUUUGAUUUGUCUUGGUAGGAAUACUCCUCCAGUGGAACAAGUUGGGUGUUGGAUAGUGGAUGCACCAAUCAUAUGACCUGAGAGAAGGAUAUGUUCACAUCAUUCCAACCUAGUGGUGAACAAAGUGGAAACAUUGUAUUUGGUGACAAUGGAAAAGGAGAAGUACUUGGUUUGGGUAAAAUUGCUAUCUCAAAUGAUAACUCCAUUUCCAAUGUUUCACUUGUAAAUUCGUUGAGUUACAAUUUGUUGUCCGUCUCGCAACUUUGUGAAAUGAGUUACAAUUGUCUCUUUACGGAUAAGGGUGUGGAAGUCUAUAGAAGGGAGGAUUCCUCUAUUGCAUUUACGGGUCACCUAAAAGGGAAACUCUAUCUAGUUCAUUUCACAUCAAAUAGAGUAAAGCCCGAGACUUGUUUAAUGGCAAAAUCUAGCAUGGGGUGGUUAUGGCAUCGCCGACUUGCCCAUGUUGGGAUGAGGAACUUGGCCAAACUUCAAAAAGGCGAACACAUCCUUGGACUAACAAAUGUUUCUUUUGAGAAAGAUAGGAUUUGCAGUGCAUGUCAAGCGGGAAAGCAAGUAGGAGCUAAGCAUCCCGCAAAGAACAUCGUGACAACCGAAAGGCCUUUGGAGCUGCUACACAUGGACAUAUUUGGACCCGUGGCUUACAUAAGCAUUGGUGGUAACAAAUAUGGUUUUGUGAUUGUUGAUGAUUAUUCACGUUACACUUGGGUUUUCUUUUUGCGUGAUAAAAGUGAGGUCCAAGGUAUUUUCAAGAAGUUUGCAAGAAGAGCUCAAAAUGAGUUUGAUGUCAAGAUCAAGAAAGUUAGAAGUGACAAUGGGACGGAGUUCAAGAACACCAACAUCAAAGAGUACCUUGAUAAAGAAGGAAUCAAGCAUGAGUUUUCGGUUCCGUACACUCCUCAACAAAAUGGUGUUGUGGAGAGAAAGAACCGGACACUCAUAGAAGCCGCAAGAGCAAUGUUGGAUGAAUACAAGACUCCGGUGAACUUUUGGGCGGAAGCGGUUCACACGGCGUGUCAUGCUAUCAACCGCUUGUAUCUUCACAAGAAAAGAGAAAAGACCGCCUAUGAACUUCUAACUGGUAAAAAGCCCAAGGUGCACUACUUUAUAGUUUUUGGAUCCAAGUGUUUCAUACUUAACAAAAAGUCCAAAAGCUCAAAGUUUGCACCAAAGGUUGAUGAAGGUUUAAUGCUUGGUUAUGGUACUAAUGAACAUGGAUAUCGUGUUUUCAAUAAAACCUCCAGUUUGAUUGAAAUUGCGGUAGACGUGACCUUUGAUGAAACCGACGGCUCUCAAAAGGAGCAAGUCAAUGUUGAGAUUGUAGGUAAUGAAGCAGCUGCACAAGAAGCUAUCAAGAAGCUAGCAAUUGGUGAAAUAAAGCCCAUUGAAGAUGACGAUGAAGAAAGUGCAGUGCAUGUUGAUCAUGAUUCUACCAUUCAUCAUGGCUCAUCCAAUGAGCAUGGUGAGGCUUCCGCAUCAAGAAUCAAUGAAGAUUAUGGCAACAACGUGCAAGCUCAACCUCAUCUUAAUCUUGACCAUACAAGUGAAGACAAUCAUCCACAAGAUCAUAGUCUUGGUCUUCCAAUAGAUCAUGGCUAUGAUGAUGAAGAAGAUGAUGGCCCCAUUCAAAGAUCAACUCAAGUGCCACAUCCUAGAGUACAUCAAUCAAUUCAGCGGGAUCAUCCCGUUGAUAACAUUUUGGGAAGCAUUCGACGAGGGGUAACGACACGUUCUCGUUUAGCAAGUUUUUGUGAAUAUUACUCGUUUGUUUCUCCUUUGGAACCUCGUAGGGUGGAAGAAGCACUUGAUGAUGAAGAUUGGAUGAUGGCCAUGCAAGAAGAGUUGAACAACUUCACACGGAAUGAAGUCUGGUCCUUGGUGGAAAGGCUCAACCAAAAUGUGAUUGGAACCAAAUGGGUCUUCCGCAACAAGCAGGAUGAGCAUGGCGUGGUGACAAGGAACAAGGCAAGAUUGGUAGCUCAAGGUUUUACUCAAAUAGAAGGAUUGGAUUUUGGGGAGACCUAUGCACUGGUGGCAAGGCUAGAAUCCAUUCGUAUUCUACUAGCCUAUGCUGCCCAUCAUGAUUUCAAGCUAUAUCAAAUGGACGUGAAGAGUGCAUUUCUCAAUGGCCCCCUAUCCGAGUUGGUGUAUGUUGAGCAACCACCGGGCUUUGAAGAUCCCAAGUUUCCAAAUCACGUCUACAAGCUCGACAAAGCACUCUAUGGGCUUAAACAAGCCCCUAGAGCUUGGUAUGAUUGCUUAAAGGACUUCCUACUCAAGCAAGGGUUUGAGAUAGGAAAGGCCGAUGCUACCUUGUUUACUCGCAAAGUCAAUAAUGAUUUUUUUGUGUGCCAAAUAUAUGUCGAUGACAUAAUAUUUGGUAGUACUAAUGAAGACUUUUGUGAGGAAUUUAGUAGGAAUAUGACGAACAGGUUUGAGAUGUCUAUGAUGGGUGAGUUGAAGUUCUUUCUUGGAUUUCAAAUCAAGCAACUCAAAGAUGGCAUGUUCAUAAGUCAAACAAAGUACACCUACGAUAUGCUAAAGAAGUUCGACAUGGACAAAGCCAAACCCAUCAAAACACCGAUGCCAACAAGUGGGCAUCUUGACCCUGAUCAAGGAGGAAAGGACAUCGAUCAAAAGGUAUAUCGCUCCAUGAUUGGAUCCCUCCUUUACCUUUGUGCAUCUAGGCCCGAUAUUAUGCUUAGUGUGUGCAUGUGUGCAAGAUUUCAAGCUAGUCCAAAAGAAUACCAUCUAAUGGCUGUUAAGAGAAUCUUUCAGUAUUUAGUGCACACUCCUAAUCUUGGCUUGUGGUAUCCCAAGGGCUCCACUUUCGAGUUACUUGGCUAUUCCGAUUCGGAUUAUGCCGGUUGCAAAGUAAGUCGAAAGAGUACCACCGGGACUUGCCAAUUUAUUGGUAGGUCUUUGGUGUCUUGGAGCUCUAAGAAGCAGAACUCCGUUGCUUUGUCCACCGCUGAGGCCGAGUAUGUGGCGGCCGGUGCAUGCUGUGCCCAACUACUUUGGAUGAAGCAAACCCUCAAAGACUUUGGUUGUGAGCUAAACAAGAUUCCCCUUUUGUGUGACAACGAGAGUGCCAUUAAGUUGGCAAACAACCCUGCAAACCACUCUCGAACAAAGCACAUAGACAUCCGGCAUCACUUUUUGAGAGACCACGAAGCCAAAGGAGAUAUCGCACUUCAUCAUGUGAGCACCGAUAAACAACUAGCCGAUAUCUUCACAAAGCCCCUAGAUGAGUCAAGAUUUUGUGCUUUGAGGAGUGAGCUAAAUAUCAUUGAUUCUCGUAACCUACUUGAUGUCUUGCACAUAAUUUGAUUGAUCUAGGUAGGAGAAAAUUGUUUGCAAAGUUUGUUUGCUGUCUUUCAAAAUCUAAUUUAAUAUAGGUUUCAUGGAUGAUUAUAGUUAUAUAAUGCUUGUUUGUCAGCUAGUCAUCCUUGAAAUCAUUUGUGUCCAUCAUAUUUAUACCCCACUUUGCAGAGAGAGCUCAAAUUCUGAAGUUUUUGGGUUUUCCUGUGUCGGAAGUCCCGACGUGCGUCGGGAGUUCCGACGUGGUUGCGGGCUGAGCCCUCAGCCGGGAGUUCUGGCUGGCGUCGGGAGUCCCGGCCAGCGUCGGAAGUUCCGACGUGAGCCGAAAGUCCCGACGCAGAUCUCGCGCGCGUGCGGCAGACCUGUUUUGACUGGCUUGCCCCCCCCCUUUUUCACCCCGUGACCGCAGUCUUCCCCCCCCCCGCAGUCAGUUUCUUUCCCCCCCGCGCCUCCUCCUUCCCCAUUCCGAUCCAGAUCUGCCGCCGUCUCGCUGGCCUGCUCGGUCGCGGUGCGCCUCCCCCCUCCUUCCGUCGUGGUUCGCGGUGGUGCGCCUUGCGUCCUCUCCGUUGUGGUGUGUUUCGCCCUUCCCGAAGCCCUGCGUGCGCGGCGUGUGCUGCUCCUCGUGCGCAGCGUGUGUGGCGGCCGUCUCUUCGGCCGGACGUCUUCCUCGUCGCGCGUUUCUUUCUUCCUCUUCAGGUGCUUUCCCCUCUCUCUUCUCUCUCUCUCUCCCGUGUCUUGGCUUUGGAGUUUUUCGACCUCGUGCGUCGGGGGUUCCGACGGCUGUCGGGAGUUCCGACUGUCGGGACUUCCGGCCUGUGCCGGGACUUCCGACCUCGCGGUCCCUUGCUCCAUCGCAUGUCUUCCUCCAUCUUGUCUUCUAUCCUUUCUUGUGUUUGCCCAGCGUCUUAGUUGUUCGUCGCUUAUCUCGCAGUGAUGACUCGUGGAAGCCCUUCUCGCCAUGUUGAGAAGAGGUCCAAGACCAACCAGGACCGCUCCGCUGCCCCCCGCACCAAGGCUGUUCUCCCUCGGGCUGGUGCUGGUGGCUCUCGUCGUGUCGCUGCUGCCGCCGCUGCCCGUGCCUCUGGGCAAGGCCCAUCGGCUCCGGUGGCAGCCCCCCCUCAGUCCUCGCACCGGGAUCCUGAUCCCACCGGGCGUGACACCGAGGUCGACCCUGCAGAAGAGGAGCUUGAGCGUGCUGGGCGGACUAUUUCCGCUCAAGUGCGCUCCCUGUAUGAUGGGCCGGAGUGUCCCGUCUCCACGCUUGUCCCCUUCGACUCUCCGGCCCCCGUCGUGCGCUGCCCCGAGAUUGCUCCCAACAUGGGUGGUUGGGCUCCUCCUCGUCCGAUUGAUUUCCGCCACAACGUCUGCGACAUCAGGUCCUUCCGGAGCCGCAACCUUUAUGCUGAAGAUGAGAAGGAUCUCCGCCUUGAGUAUCGCUUUUGGCACUACUUUCAUUUCUACUAUUAUGAUUCCAUUCUUUACCGCAAGUCUCUUAAGAAAGGGAAGUCUCCGGUUAUUCAAAUGAAGUAUAUCAUUGAGUACUCCCUUUCCUCCACCUUCAAAGAUCAAGAGAUUCGACAAAUGGUGGAAGACUUGCGCAACAUGGGUCUCUCUGGGCUGAUGGAGCUUCACAGGCAUUGGAACAAUGAGGUGAUUAUGCAGUUUUAUGCUUCCUAUUUUCAUGAGACUGACAGCGAGAGUGACACUGAUGUUAUUCACUGGACCACUGAGGGUCGUCACUACAAGGUUGAUUUUGUCACCUUUGCUCGUUUGCUUGGUUUCAAUGGGCAUGAUCGUCGUGCAGCGGAGAUUACUGAUUAUGAGGAUGUGGCUAUGUCUGAGUACCAGUUUAUGUAUUUGGAGGGUUUUCCUGCUGAUGGACAGACCGUUUAUCUGAAGCCCUAUUACUAUGUGCUCAACAACAUUCUCAGGCAGGUUUUGUACCCCAAGGAAGGAGACUCCACUUUUCUUAGGGAUGAUUCUCAGAAGGUCCUAGCUCGUUUUGGAGAUGAUUUCCAGAAGUUCUCGGUCAGCCGGUACAUCUGGAACAGGAUACAUGAUGCUUCUGAGGAUCCGGUCAAGAACCUUCCAUAUGCUCCUUACAUCAUGCAUGUCAUUCAGCAGGUCUCAGGCAUUCACUUUCCUACUGAUGGCUCUAAUCACAAGGUGUUGAGAUUGGCAAAUCGGGUCUCCGUCCAAGCAGCUAGGGCUUUGAAGGCUUGUGGUGCAGAUCCUCCUCCUCGCCGUGGUGGUCCUUCCUCUGCUCGUUCCCGUCGUGCUGCUCCUUCGCCUCCUGCUAUCUCCCGCUCCACCAGUUCUCAGCCUCUCACCUCCUCUGGCAAAGGCAAGAAGCCCAGCAAGUUCAAGUUUCUGAUGACUUAUAUGUUUGGACAAUGUUGUGCUAGUGCUCAGAGGCAGCAUGAUAUUCAGGAGAGGCUCUAUCGUCUUGAGCAGCAGGCUGGUGUUGUCUCUUCGCCCCCUCCUCCGUUUGUGCCUCCCAGUGAUCCUCUUGCUCUUUAUGAUGAGGCUUGCCAAGCUUAUCAGGAUGAGGCCACUUCUCGCCCUCAUGGCAAAGGUGUGGCUGCCCCUGAGGAUGAGGAGUACCAUGAAGAAGAACAAGAUGAUGAUGAUGAUGACGACGACGAUGAUGAUGACGGUGACGAUGAGGACUUUGACAUUGAGUAGUCGUUUCUUCUCUAGCGCGGCCUACCCCUUUUGGCACUUGUUGACAAAGGGGGAGUGUUAGGCUUUGAUCUUUCAUGUAAUAAGCUAGAUGUCGUGGUUGGUAGACUUAAUAAUUUCUUAGUUUGGAUUAUCUAUGUCUCGUGGUGGUACUAUGUGAUGGACAUCUUUAUAUUUGUUGUGUGAGUUGGAUGAUUGUAGGACAAGUUGUUAAUCUUUUAUCUAUCUACGUUGUUUACUUGUCCUUGCCUCUUUUGUUUGUUUGUUGAUUGAGUUUUUGUGAUGGCCAUGUACUUAAGGUCUAUCUUGGUUUAUUGGUCAUCCUAUUCUCUCCACUUUGUUGUGUGAAUAUAAACUGUCAUUUUGCAUACUUUUUCACGGUUAUACUCUUGUUCACACUUGUUGCACCCCACGAAGUGCAAAAUUUAGGGGGAGCUUGUUCUUUGAUGUAUGUUUCUUAAGUGAUGACAAUCACCAUUGAAAUUCAAAUUCAUGCAUACAUCAAGGGGGAGCUCACUGUAAAUUUUGGACUUCAAAAGCUUUUUGACUUUCAUUUGUAAGCCUAAACUUGGUUGUCAUCAAGCACCAAAAAGGGGGAGAUUGAAAGUGCAUUUGCCCCCUAUGUGGGUUUUGGUGUAUUGAUGACAUCCAAUUUAGGGACUAAUGCGUUGUAUUUGAGAUUUGCUACAGCUACUAAUCUCAUGAAAGAUGCAAAGGUUCGACUUAAGAUGAAAUGGUAUCCCCCAAUCUUCGUUCGUGAGAAAGGCGUUGGAAUCAAUCUAGAGCUUAAUUGUUUUUCUUUAAUUUUGGGGAUAGGUAUGCCGUACUAUCAAGAGGGAUUCAAAAGUUGUUGGUUUGGCGAAGAUAGAGUGCUCAAGUCUUUCAACUAAAACUUUUUAGAGACACUCUAACACCUCUCUUGCACUUAGGUUUAACUUCUGUGACUUCUGGUGUCGGAAGUCCCGACGCGGGUCGGAACUCCCGACGUGCUGCGCGAGAACUGUGAACGUCGGAAGUCCCAACGUAAGUCGGAAGUCCCGACGUUGAAUUCUGCGCGCGCACAUGUCGGAAUUCCCGACAAGCGUCGGAAGUCCCGAUGCCAGAACUUUGGCUGGCUGCUCCCUCGCACGAGCGUCAGUAGUCCCGACCAGCGUCAGCAGUGCUGACGCGUCGGAAGUCCCGACGCUUGUCGGAACUUCCGACGUUGCCGUUUCUGCGCUGACUCAGUUUGCCUGUUGAACAGUUUUUCCCCGUGAGUGUCGGAAGUCCCGACACUAUGUCGGAACUUCCGACGUAGACCUGAGCAGACUUUUCUCCCAGUAGUAUAAAUAGCUCUCUCUGUGUUUCUAACCGUUACCCACUCUUUCAUUGCGACCAUCCCUCAGACUAAACAGCUCCCAAGCAUUCAAGACUCCCCUCUCCUCCUCCUCUUUGCUCCCAACUUCGAUUCACCUUAGAUUUGGAGUGAUUGGAGAGUGGUUAAGUGAGAGCAACGUCUUGAGAAGCUUGAGCACUUGAUCUCUUCGUCAAGCCGGCAGGUUUUGAGUUUAUUACUCUUGGGUUCUUGGAACCCUAGCCGGCUAGGCAUCGUCCAAGAGCUUCUAUCUUGUGGAAGAGCCUUGGAAAGUUUGUAUUACCCGGUUUUUCUUAGUGGAAAGCUCAAGUGACCUUUGUGGUUACUUUGAGGGAGGCAAGGAGGUGAAAGAGACUCCGACCUUGGUGGUCACCUCAACAACGAGGACGUAGGAACUCCUAAGUGGGGUUGCCGAACCUCGGGUUAAAUCCUUGUGUCUCUUGUGGUUGUUUGUCUUAAGAUCUACUUGUAUUACUUGUAUUUGCUUGUGCUUCAACCUCCUUUUAGGGUUUGGUCUCGAUCUACGGUUUGGGGGACUCUUGGUGUCAAGGAAGGUUCUCAACAUCCUCUUCUAACCACUAGAGAGUGGUGUUGUAAGUUGUGGAUCUCACAAAGUUCAUUUAAGCACUUGUAGUUCAUUUUCCGUAGGUGUCGGAACUGCUGACAGUUUGCGUCGGAACUUCUGACAACGUCGGAAGUUCUGACCCAAACUGUCGGGACUUCCGACAGUUGCUGACAAGUGACUUUGAGUUUUGUGUAGAAUUUUUAUAUACGCCUAUUCACCCCACCUCUAGGCAUUGUUUAGAUCCUUUCAUGUUAUUAUACCUAUUUGAUGUCACAAAUUUUUAAAGUUUUCUCUAUAAAUUUAGUAAAGCUUGAGAAGCUUUAACUCUCCAAAAUUUUUGAAAUGACUUGUAAUUCAGGACAGGUUAAGUACCUAAUAUACUUUAAAGUCUAAAAUGUCAUUUUACUUUAUAUAUAUACGUUGUUAAAAAAAUUCUAAAAUCACACUAAACCAUUGUAUUAAUAUAUCCAGCUGUUCUCAAUUCUCAAUAUCAGACCUUGUUUAGUUGGUGAAAAAUUUUGGUAUUGACUACUCUAGCACUUUCGUUUGUAUUUGACAAUUAUUAUCCAAUUAUAAACUAACUAGACUUAAAAAAUUUGUCUCACAAAUUACGGACAAACUGCAUAAUUAUUUUUUAUCUAUAUUUAAUACUUCAUGCAUGCGUCUAAGGAUUUAAUGUGACAGAGAAUCUUGAAAAAUUUUGAGAUUUUUGGUGAAGUAAACAGGCGUCAAUAUGCCAUACGAUGAUUAUUUAUGGGUUACACAUGCACCCAUUUAUUUUUUUUGUAAAAAAAAAGGACUCAAAGGGUAAAGACGGUAAUGAGGAAAAAAAAACCCCCCGCUCUCCUUCUUCCCCUUCCCGCUGACACCAGCUGGCGCGUGCGUGAAGGAUACGCCAACGCCGCAAACCGACCACUCCAUCUUCCCGGGCAAUAAAACCCCAGUAACUCAUCGGCGUCUCCUCCCCCGCUUCCCAGAGCAAUCCAUCCCCAGAGUUCUGGAAUCCCACUUCCUGAUCUCCAUCUCCCAGCAUCUCCGCGCGCGCCCCAUCGCGAUCUCGGCUCCGCGGCUGCCUCGAUCGAUUCCCCCAAGGCCGCAGGUGCUCCCCAUCCUCCCUCCUCGCUCGAUCCGCACUCCUCUCGACUCGUCGCCCCUUCGGAUCCCGUUGCGAUGCUGAGCCUGCCUCCUCCGGCCCCACCCGCGGCGGCGGCGGUGGCGGUGGCGGCGGCGGCGGCGGCGGAUGAGAAGCGUCCCUCGCCGCCGAUGAAGGCGAAGCUGCUUUUUCCGUACGCCGUGUCCUGCGUGUUCGGCGGCAUGCGCCGCGCCUGGGGCAUGGCUCUCGUCGGGCUCCACGCCUUGACCCGUGUCGUCAAGGUCGUCUCCUUCACGACAGACGCAGAGGAGGUUCGCUUCUUGGUACCGAUCUUCCACGGCUGGGUGUACCUCGGCAUCGCCGCCGUGGUGCUCGUGACGUGCGUGGACAUCAUCUACUACACGGUGAGUCUGCUCUUUCCAUACGCUGUGUCCUGUGUGGUCAGCGGCAGAGGCCGGCCCAGGGGCAUGGCUAUGAUCAGCCUCCACAUUGUGCUCAGCAUCGUCAAGGUCCUCUCUUUCACCACAGACCCUGAGGUGGCCCGCUUCUUGACACUAAUCUUCCGUGUGUGGGUCUACUUUGGCAUCACUGCCAUGGUCCUCAUGACGUGCGUGGACAUCGGUCACUACUUGUAUGGUUUGUACACCUUGAUGUUCCAUCCGUCACAGCAGCAGCUGGCAGCGGCAGAGGUGCUGCUCCCGCCUCCACCUCCGGAGAUGGACAUGUGCUAAAUUUGGUCGGUGGGUUCGGUAUGUCUUUGAUUGCUGGCGUCAGGUGCGUUUUCUAACCCGUUCUUCAGUCUCUGUUUUAGUUGCUUACUUACAGGUGUUGCUGCUCUCCUUGCUCAAGGUACAUGCCCUUCCCUUCUCAGCCCUAUCUUCGGUUCAGCACUUUUAAUGCACAUAUUGCUUAACUAUACAGCUACAAGUAUCUGAAACAUUAAGUUUUGAAACAGAAAACAUCUUGAUUUUAGGUUCCAUAUAUAUAGUGUAGUUGUCUGUGGCCCAUAUGAUUUGGUGCAGAUUUCGCUGCUUGUGCUAGACAUUCUGUUUUCAAUUUGUUUAGGCACCACUAGAAAUUGUAAGAUGCUUCAGGUGCUUCCUGUUUAGUAGCUAUUAAAUGGUAUGUUUUUCCAUGCCUCAAUCUAUCUUUUGUAUAACAACGAAUCCACAGUGUGUUCAUACUUCAGUAGUUGCAUUGUGGGAGCACUCCAGUGAAUUUAUUACUUAUUGUUCUGGUAUGUCUUUUCCUUGUUUAUUACUUUCUGUAUUUUGUGUUAUUUGUGAUAAACAGGCUUUCUGAUGAAAGGAUCAAGUGGCAAACAUCAGUGAAAGAACAUCACAUGAUGGCCCGAUCUGGACGUGACCAUCACAGGGAAGUGGUGUAAAAGAUCAACCUGUUGAGUGCCAUGAUAACAAAAAUGCCAGCGCGCUAAAUUAGGACAGAACUAAGUAGAGCUGGAAAAUACUGCGAACGAAGUGGGAGAAGAACCAAG